This 497-nucleotide ribosomal RNA is filed under the name uncultured bacterium. RNAcentral describes it as "partial 16S ribosomal RNA". It matches the Rfam family "Bacterial small subunit ribosomal RNA", at positions 28 to 507 of the family's 1533-position model. The record is from RNAcentral.
GAUGAACGCUGGCGGCGUGCCUAAUACAUGCAAGUCGAGCGAACAGACGAGGAGCUUGCUCCUCUGACGUUAGCGGCGGACGGGUGAGUAACACGUGGAUAACCUACCUAUAAGACUGGGAUAACUUCGGGAAGCCGGAGCUAAUACCGGAUAAUAUAUUGAACCGCAUGGUUCAAUAGUGAAAGACGGUUUUGCUGUCACUUAUAGAUGGAUCCGCGCCGCAUUAGCUAGUUGGUAAGGUAACGGCUUACCAAGACAACGAUGCGUAGCCGACCUGAGAGGGUGAUCGGCCACACUGGAACUGAGACACGGUCCAGACUCCUACGGGAGGCAGCAGUAGGGAAUCUUCCGCAAUGGGCGAAAGCUUGACGGAGCAACGCCGCGUGAGUGAUGAAGGUCUUCGGAUCGUAAAACUCUGUUAUUAGGGAAGAACAAAUGUGUAAGUAACUAUGCACGUCUUGACGGUACCUAAUCAGAAAGCCACGGCUAACUACGUG